Molecule: ribosomal RNA, 406 nt
Filed under: uncultured bacterium
Lineage: Bacteria
Description: partial 16S ribosomal RNA
Rfam family: Bacterial small subunit ribosomal RNA
Source: RNAcentral
AUUGAACGCUGGCGGCAGGCCUAACACAUGCAAGUCGAACGAGUGGCGGACGGGUGAGUAAGGACUGGGAAACUGCAUGAUGGAGGGGGAUAACAACUGGAAACGGUAGCUAAUACCGCAUAACAUCAGAUGUGCCCAGAUGGGAUGAGCUUGUUGGGGGGGUAACGGAGCACCAAGGCGAAUAUCCCUAGCGGGUCUGUGAGGAUGACCAGCCACACUGGAACUGAGACACGGUCCAUACGCCGACGGGAGGCAGCAGUGGGGAAUAUUGCACAAUGGGCGCAAGCCGGAUGCAGCCGUGCCGAGUGUAUGAAGAAGGCCUUCGGGUUGUAAAGUACUUUCAGCGGGGAUGCGUUACCCGCAGAAGAAGCACCGGCUAACUCCGUGCCAGCAGCCGCGGUAAUUC